Molecule: ribosomal RNA, 427 nt
Filed under: uncultured Enterobacterales bacterium
Lineage: Bacteria; Pseudomonadati; Pseudomonadota; Gammaproteobacteria; Enterobacterales
Description: bacterial SSU rRNA
Rfam family: Bacterial small subunit ribosomal RNA
Source: RNAcentral
AUUGAACGCUGGCGGCAGGCCUAACACAUGCAAGUCGAACGGUAGCACAGAGGAGCUUGCUCCUUGGGUGACGAGUGGCGGACGGGUGAGUAAUGUCUGGGAAACUGCCCGAUGGAGGGGGAUAACUACUGGAAACGGUAGCUAAUACCGCAUAACGUCGCAAGACCAAAGAGGGGGACCUUCGGGCCUCUUGCCAUCGGAUGUGCCCAGAUGGGAUUAGCUAGUAGGUGGGGUAACGGCUCACCUAGGCGACGAUCCCUAGCUGGUCUGAGGGGAUGACCAGCCACACUGGAACUGAGACACGGUCCAGACUCCUACGGGAGGCAGCAGUGGGGAAUAUUGCACAAUGGGCGCAAGCCUGAUGCAGCCAUGCCGCGUGUAUGAAGAAGGCCUUCGGGUUGUAAAGUACUUUCAGCGAGGAGGAAGG